CGAGUGCCUCGAGCGUUAUCCGGAAUCAUUGGGCGUAAAGGGUGUGUAGGUGGUUAUGUUAGUCUCGCGUUAAAUUCUCCGGCUCAACCGGAGAGCUGCGUGGGAAACGGCAUGACUUGAGGAUGGUAGAGGUUUCUGGAACUCAUAGUGUAGCGGUGAAAUGCGUUGAUAUUAUGGGGAACACCAAAAGCGAAGGCAAGAAACUGGGCCACUCCUGACACUGAAACACGAAAGCGUGGGUCGCGAAUGGGAUUAGAUACCCCAGUAGUCCACGCCCUAAACGAUGAUCUCUAGAUUUGGGGAGUAUCGACCCUCUCCGAGUCGUAGCAAACGCGUUAAAAGAUCCGCCUGGGUAGUACGGCCGCAAGGUUG
RNAcentral lists this ribosomal RNA (372 nucleotides) under uncultured organism. RNAcentral describes it as "bacterial SSU rRNA". It matches the Rfam family "Bacterial small subunit ribosomal RNA", at positions 526 to 896 of the family's 1533-position model. The record is from RNAcentral.